UGAUUCUAUGAUUCUAUGAUUCUAUGAUUCUCUUACCUCCCUUUUUAAAACGCGUUUGCUGCUUCAGGCCAGCGGGCGCGGCCAAGCCGCGUAAAUUGGACGGCAAAACAAGCGGGUAAAAUGAGGAAGUUUUAUCACAAACGCUCUUUUUGACAUCCAACCACUGGGUGUCACUGUCGAUCCUAGGUGGGUAUUUUCAUAGUGAGCGGCAAUUUUUAAUGAUUCAGGCGGUACUGGGAGCUCUUCACCUUCUUCUCCAGGCAUCUAUUUCAGAAUAAAUACUUUGCUUCCACUGGCUGUUUCAGGAUAUUUUCAACUCGGUGGUGGCAGCGUUGUUCCUCCUCAUUGUGUGCCUGUUUGCAGUAAUAGUCAAGACCAACAACGGGACGCUGGCUGGAGGAGUGUUUGGUCUUGUAUUGCUUGUUCUCUGUGUUGUCGACGCGGUUCUUCUUUUCCAGAAGAUCAGCCUUGAUGGGCCAAGAGGAAGGAAUACUCCUGCGAAAUAAGAUUGCUGUGUUAGUAAAAGCACGGUUUCUCUGUCGAUGACUGGUUCACUGUUCUCUUUUAAAGAAUUUGUAUUUUCACAUGUUCGCCUUGGAAUUUUCCGUGCAUUUAUGUACGUUUUUGCAAGUAUCGUUUGUAAGUUUUCUUACAAGUGUGGUUUCAGUGUUGCAGUUUCACCAGCAUAAGCGUCACAAAGAAUUGUCGUUUUUUCAAAUUUAAUUACAUUUUCACCUGUUUAUUUGAAAAUUAAUUUCAUGAUUGCCUUCUUUCUGUAAUAAAGAGAAGAUGCAAACAG
Molecule: long non-coding RNA, 799 nt
Organism: Egretta garzetta (little egret)
Lineage: Eukaryota; Metazoa; Chordata; Aves; Pelecaniformes; Ardeidae
Exons: 2
Source: RefSeq, a predicted model, not a curated record